Molecule: ribosomal RNA, 253 nt
Filed under: uncultured bacterium
Lineage: Bacteria
Description: partial 16S ribosomal RNA
Rfam family: Bacterial small subunit ribosomal RNA
Source: RNAcentral
UACAGGGGGGGCAAGCGUUGUUCGGAAUUACUGGGCGUAAAGGGCUCGUAGGUUGCCAACUAAGUCAGACGUGAAAUCCCUCAGCUUAACUGGGGAACUGCGUCUGAUACUGGAUGGCUUGAGUUUGGGAGAGGGAUGCGGAAUUCCAGGUGUAGCGGUGAAAUGCGUAGAUAUCUGGAGGAACACCGGUGGCGAAGGCGGCAUCCUGGACCAACACUGACACUGAGGCACGAAAGCGUGGGGAGCAAACAGG